This is a long non-coding RNA of Mobula hypostoma (lesser devil ray), 314 nucleotides long. RefSeq lists it as uncharacterized. The transcript is spliced from 3 exons. NCBI's taxonomy places the organism in Eukaryota, Metazoa, Chordata, Chondrichthyes, Myliobatiformes, Myliobatidae. The record is from RefSeq and is a predicted model, not a curated record.
CAAGACAGUUCUCCAUGUAGAGUUGAGGGAGAGCUCGUGCCUUUUCAUUCGACAUCAUCCUGACGUUCAGGUCUUUGAAAGCAUCGUCGUUUUACCCUACCGCCAGUUGCUACAUUAAAGAAAGUCAACUUGGAACGUCUUUGUCACUGUAGUAAUUGGGGAUGGAGUUCAUCUGCCUGUCAAUUCAUGCAAGGCGUGUGAAGAGUUUGUGGUCAUUUGCAUACGGUUUGGACGCCCAAGUCCGUGCAGUCUUUCAUUGACUCUAUUAUGGGCUUACUGAGUGUGCCCACUGGAAAAUGAAACUCGGGGUUGUA